Molecule: long non-coding RNA, 1270 nt
Filed under: Sus scrofa (pig)
Lineage: Eukaryota; Metazoa; Chordata; Mammalia; Artiodactyla; Suidae
Description: lncRNA (ENSSSCG00005030986.1)
Source: RNAcentral
ACCUUUCACAAUUACUUAUCUAAGUUAACCUUUUUUUUUUUCUUAUUGAACAGCCAAAAAAAUUCAACUACAAGUUGGGUGUUAAAACAUAUGAUUGAAAAUACCAAGUAAGAACCCCAAUUUCAAGUAAUUAUGUUCAUUAAAACAGGCUCAUGUACCUCAUAAAUUGAAUUAAUAAUAAGCAAAUGAUAUAAAUUUGAAAAUUUUGAAUAAAGUGAUAUUAAUAAAAUUACCCUUUUAUCUGAUGAAUCCAUGUAUUUUUGCACAGUUGUUGCCUUGUAAGAAAUGGAUGGAAAGUGACUCUGCAGAAAUCCUAAGUGCAAGCAGACAAGGCAAGAACUUCGAGAGGUGAGAGGAAAUAAAAGAAAUGGUUUCACCCCUUGCUCUGAGGUGCUGGUGGGAAGAGAAUGUGAAGCCUCCUGCAGGAACAUGGAAGAUGGGUCCUGCGACAAGGAGGGAGAAAGGCUAUCAGGGUUAUCUCUGUCAACACCAGUGAUUUUAGAGAGAAUGACAAAUAUAGAAGAUGUGGAAGACAAGUACUGGACAUGUCCUGAUCAAGACAAAUAUUGAAAGGUGAUUUUUAAAAUAUAGCUCCCUAGUAGCAGCUUUGUUGAUCUGACUCUUUCUCAUAAAAGCCAGUUACAUUUUUAAUUUCCUACUCAUUAGAAAUUCCAACUAUAUAAAGCCUAUGUCUUAUUACAGAAAACUAAAAAUGCUUAAGCCUGCACUAUUUUAAUUCCAUUUUACUGGUAGGAUUUUGUAAUAAGUUAAAACAAGUAUAAUUAGGAGUUCCCAUUGCAGCUUAGUGGGUUAAGAACCUGAUCUUGUCUCUCUGAGGAUGUGGGUCCAAUUCCUGGUCUCGCUCAGUGGGUUAAGGAUUCGGCAUUUCUGUGAGCUCUCACGUAGGUCACAGCUGCAGCUCAGAUCUGGUGUUGCUGUGGUUGUGGUGUAGGCCAGCAACUGCAGCUCCAAUUCAACCCCCAGCCAGGGAACUUCCAUAUACCACAAGUUUGGCCAUAAAAAGAAAAAAAAAAACAAGCAAAAAACAAGUUUAAUUAAUCAAGCAGUGUCUAUAAAGAUGCCUAAAUUUAAACAGUAUUUGACCAUAGAUAUUUCUCAGGCUAUAACAUAAAAGCUAUACUAUAGCGGAAAGGGGGGGUUAAUGAAACAGCCAAUUUCUUCAAAGAAAAUAUAUCAAAUAGAAAAUAUGAUACAAUAAAGUUAUGUGGCAUCUAGACCAUGUCUAGCUAGAAUUUUUAGUACCCAGGAC